UCCUUCAUAGCUCAGUCAGUAAAGAAUCUGCCUGCAAUGUAGAAGACCCAGGUUUGAUUCCUGGCUUGGGAA
This 72-nucleotide transfer RNA is filed under the name Bos taurus (domestic cattle). It matches the Rfam family "tRNA". Rfam says of the family: Transfer RNA (tRNA) molecules are approximately 80 nucleotides in length. Their secondary structure includes four short double-helical elements and three loops (D, anti-codon, and T loops). The record is from Rfam by way of RNAcentral. Lineage: Eukaryota; Metazoa; Chordata; Mammalia; Artiodactyla; Bovidae.